CUCUUCAAUUUUAGGACAAGAAUGGCACCAACUCACCUGCCCUGCAAAAAUGUAAAGGUCUCUCCUGGUCAGUCUCAGCCGGUCUUGCUGUGUCCUCCUUACUCCCCCCUUGUUUCUCUCCCCAAAGAAGCCCUUCCUUUAUGACAAUUCUAGACAUGAUUCCAUUAACACAGUCAUCGUCUCAGCUACAUCUCUGUCAAGUGUCUUUCAGAGUUUCAGUCUGGGCCGUCAAAGUGAGUGGUCUUGGUAUUGUUUUAUGGCUCUUGUCCAUUGCCCAACUUCUCCAUCUCUAGACGUCAUCGAUCUUCCUCCUGCUCUUUGCGGUAUGCCUCAGACAGGACACAGGUAUCAGAGCAUUUUUCAGAGUCUGUGCGAUUCCCCGCUUCCAUUCGCAGACUGGUCACUGUCUGCAGGUGAGGCGGCGCGCCGCUGCUUAUGGAUAGGAACCGGCUUCCAUUUACCAUCUGCAUCCUCACAGCUGUGCAGCAGUGAAGACAACUGGGUGCAGGCCUUUAAGCAGGAAGAGGAAGAAGAAGCUGGUUGCCAAGGGGCCCUUCCUUGAGUGUCCUGCACUAGGGCCGCUCACAAGCAAGUGUCACCUACUGAGCACAAAGCCUGGGUAAGCCGCACGAGUCCCAUUUAUAAAUGGAGCCAUCGGGGUGCACCUUGUCCAAGUCCACAGGCCGCUGGGAGAGCCAGGAAAAGAAUGCAGAUUUUCCGAGUCUCUGCCGUGUGCUCAGGCCAGCUGGUCUGCAACUAGCAUUCAAAAGCAGAGACGU
Long non-coding RNA from Trachemys scripta elegans, 779 nucleotides. RefSeq lists it as uncharacterized. The transcript has 3 exons. The record is from RefSeq and is a predicted model, not a curated record. Lineage: Eukaryota; Metazoa; Chordata; Testudines; Emydidae.